UUGAAAAAAUUAGAGUGUUCAAAGCGGGCUUACGCUUGAAUAUAUUAGCAUGGAAUAACACCAUAGGACUCCUGUCCUAUUUCGUUGGUCUCGGGACGGGAGUAAUGAUUAAGAGGAACAGUUGGGGGCAUUCGUAUUUCAUUGUCAGAGGUGAAAUUCUUGGAUUUAUGAAAGACGAACUUCUGCGAAAGCAUUUGCCAAGGAUGUUUUCAUUGAUCAAGAACGAAAGUUGGGGGCUCGAAGAUGAUUAGAUACCAUCCUAGUCUCAACCAUAAACGAUGCCGACUAGGGAUUGGCGGAUGUUAAUUGAUGACUUCGCCAGCACCUUAUGAGAAAUCAAAGUUUUUGGGUUCCGGGGGGAGUAUGGUC
This 369-nucleotide ribosomal RNA is filed under the name uncultured marine eukaryote. RNAcentral describes it as "SSU rRNA". It matches the Rfam family "Eukaryotic small subunit ribosomal RNA", at positions 757 to 1130 of the family's 1831-position model. The record is from RNAcentral.